CGGGGAGAGCGGCUCGGGGCGGCCGGACCCGCGGCGGUUGCUAAGAGACCGGAGCCAUGACACAGGGAAAUCGCUGCAGGAUGGCAGUCGGUACCCGGCCCGGCUAGGCGGCUCGGGGGCGCACCCGCCCCCCGCCCCGCCCCGCCUCCCGCCUCCUCCCUGGCUCCCGUCUCCCCGCCUCGCCGGUCUCCCCCUCCACACUUCCUCUCCCGCCGGCGCGCGUCCCUUCGGAAGAACCGCUUCCCCAGGAACGAGGAGGCGCGAGGGGAGGCGGAGGAGGGGGCCCGGGCCGGGGGCGCGCGGAGAGGGCAGGGCGCGGGGCGCCUCAGCCUCGGCCCUCCCCGCCCCUGGGGCGCCCCGGGACCGCCGCCUGCCCGGGGCUGGAGCUUUGUUCUUUCCCUCCCAACUACCUGUCUGAGCCGCGGGCCGGAGGGUCCCCAAAGGACGGGCCGCUGCUCCCGGAGGGGCUCCCCAUCAACAUCCGAGGGUAGCGCCCGCGUCUCCUUGCCUCCCUGCCACCCCGCCUCUCCUCUCCUCUCUUCCUCUUUUGUUGCCUCGACUCCUGGACACGACACAGCCUGCGCUGUCUCCCCCCUCCCACUCGGGAGUUGGCAGUGUGGACGCACAGCGAACACAGCCUGAACAUCUGUAAUAAUCUAAAUAGCCUUUUUCCUGCUAACAAUCAGCUCAGAAGCACUCUCACUUUCUGACAGCAUCAAAGACACUUGAGUCAUUGAACCGCAUCUCACCAGGGUGUCAGGGAUGGUUGGCUUAUCUGGAUUCUGGAUGCUUUUUCCAUCUGCAGCAGCAGCUCCUUCCGACCACAUGACCUUGAGUGAGUUGUUUAACACCCUCCUGAACCUGAGUUUUAUCACCUUCUGAUCGAACUAAGGUCACAUCACGCAUCUUCCCAGGCUCUUCUGAACAUCCAGAUUAGCUAAUACCGAAGACAUCACUUGGAAGCCAGAAAGCUCCCUCCAGUGUAUUAAUAACUUAGAUCCUCCUGGCUGAUGAGAAUAGUAGGACCACAGUGAAUCACAUGUGGCCCCAGGAGCUGGCUUUCAAGGUCAAUUCUCAGGUAUCUUUUGUAGCAUUUAAAAAUGAGUGACAUGCAAAAGCAUUAGGGGUUUUCUUAACAAGGUUAUUC
RNAcentral lists this long non-coding RNA (1147 nucleotides) under Bos indicus x Bos taurus (hybrid cattle). RNAcentral's name for it is "lncRNA (ENSBIXG00000009285.1)". Lineage: Eukaryota; Metazoa; Chordata; Mammalia; Artiodactyla; Bovidae. The record is from RNAcentral.